Molecule: non-coding RNA, 1270 nt
Organism: Pelobates cultripes (western spadefoot toad)
Lineage: Eukaryota; Metazoa; Chordata; Amphibia; Anura; Pelobatidae
Source: the annotation of a GenBank genome assembly
GGUUAACCCUAGCUGGACCUGGCACCCAGACCACUUCAUUAAGUGGUCUGGGUGCCUAUAGUGGUCCUUUAACUAGCCUAUGACUGUAUUUCAUGUCCCCCAUCCCUCUCCAAAAUGCAUGACACACACACACACUACCCUGGGUAGGGCAACAUUACCACUUGCCAGUGGCAAAAAAGUUAUGUCCAGAGUAAAUGUAAAUUGAUGAGUGUGUGUGUUUUGCCAGGAUAUGGGAAUGCAGAGUAGAUUUGAGCAACACAGAAAAAUACCCUAUGUGAAUGUGGGGGUUAUUUAUGUAGUAUGGCAGUGUGUGGCUGUGGUAGUUUGAGUAGCAUAGCAGUAUAUGAAUGUGGUAAUUUAGUUGUGUAGCAUGGCAGCGUGUGAAUUUGUUAGUUGUGUAGCAUGGCAGCGUGUGAAUGUGGUAGUAUUUGGGUAACAUGGCAGUGUGAAUGUGGUAGUAUUUGGGUAACAUGGCAGUAUGCGAAUGUGGUAUUUUGCAUAACCUGGCAGUAAGUGAAUGUGAUUGUAUUUGUGUAACAUGGCAGUAAGUGAAUGUGGCUGUAUUUGCGUAACAUGGCAGUAAGUGAAUGUGGCUGUAUUUGCGUAACAUGGCAGUAAGUGAAUGUGAUUGUAUUCGUGUAACAUGGCAGUAAGUGAAUGUGGUAUUUUGCGUAACAUGGCAGUAAGUGAAUGUGGCUGUAUUCGUGUAACAUGGCAGUGUGUGAAUGAGGUUUUUUGCAUAGCAUGGCAGUAAGUGAAUGUGGUAUUUUGCGUAACAUGGCAGUAAGUGAAUGUGGCUGUAUUCGUGUAACAUGGCAGUAAGUGAAUGUGGUAUUUUGCGUAACAUGGCAGUAAGUGAAUGUGGUAUUUUGCGUAACAUGGCAGUAAGUGAAUGUGGCUGUAUUCGUGUAACAUGGCAGUGUGUGAAUGAGGUUUUUUGCAUAGCAUGGCAGUAAGUGAAUGUGGUAUUUUGCGUAGCAGGGCAGUAAGUGAAUGUGGUAGUUUACUUGUGUAACCGCGGCUGGUUCCCCAAUUUACCACUAUAACAUCUUAAGUAUAGAAUUUAGCAGGGCUAACCAUACAGAUAUCUUGGCUAUAAUAAUAUAUAGUUAGUAAGCGUUCCUCUAUUUAAAAUAUAUAAAUAAUUGAGAAUACGAUAUAAAAUCGGGAUUGUCUUGGAUUCCUUUUGGGUUAAGCACCCCUCUCAGCCACCCAGCUUCAUAGGCCCUUUUGGAGGUGACCACGGAAAAGUAUAGAUUUGAGUGGGCUU